UACGGCCACAUCACGUUGAAACACGUUCCCGUACGAUCAUCGAAGUUAAGCAACAUCAACCCUGGUCAGUACUUAGAUGGGUGACUGCUUAGGAAUACUAGGCGUUGUAAG
Molecule: non-coding RNA, 111 nt
Organism: Acanthosepion pharaonis
Lineage: Eukaryota; Metazoa; Mollusca; Cephalopoda; Sepiida; Sepiidae
Source: the annotation of a GenBank genome assembly